GAUGAACGCUAGCAGCAGGCCUAACACAUGCAAGUCGAGGGAGAGGUUACCUUCGGGUAACCAAAACCGGCGCACGGGUGCGUAACGCGUAUACAAUCUGCCUUUCACAUAGGGAUAGCCCGAAGAAAUUUGGAUUAAUACCUAAUGGUAUAUAAGAGCGGCAUCGUUUUUAUAUUAAAGCUACGGUGGUGAAAGAUGAGUAUGCGUUCUAUUAGCUAGUUGGAGAGGUAACGGCUCCCCAAGGCGACGAUAGAUAGGGGUUCUGAGAGGGAUGUCCCCCACACUGGUACUGAGAUACGGACCAGACUCCUACGGGAGGCAGCAGUGAGGAAUAUUGGACAAUGGUCGGAAGACUGAUCCAGCCAUGCCGCGUGCAGGAUGAAGGUCCUAUGGAUUGUAAACUGCUUUUGUAAGGGAAGAAUAAGGAGUACGUGUACUUUGAUGACGGUACCUUACGAAUAAGCAUCGGCUAACUCCGUG
RNAcentral lists this ribosomal RNA (480 nucleotides) under uncultured bacterium. RNAcentral describes it as "partial 16S ribosomal RNA". It matches the Rfam family "Bacterial small subunit ribosomal RNA", at positions 28 to 507 of the family's 1533-position model. The record is from RNAcentral.